Molecule: ribosomal RNA, 309 nt
Filed under: uncultured bacterium
Lineage: Bacteria
Description: partial 16S ribosomal RNA
Rfam family: Bacterial small subunit ribosomal RNA
Source: RNAcentral
AGAGACAGCAGUAGCCACGGUAAAACGAGGGGUGCAAGCGUUAUUCGGAUUGAUUGGGUGUAAAGGGUGUGCAGACGGCUUAUUAAGUCACUUGUUAAAUUCUUCGGCCUAACUGAAGGUCUGCAAGUGAUACUGAUGAGCUAGAGGGUGGAAGAGAGAAGUGGAAUUCUCGGAGUAGCGGUAAAAUGCGUAGAUCACGAGAGGAACACCAAUGGCGAAGGCAGCUUCUUGGUCCAUUCCUGACGUUCAUACACGAAAGCGUGGGGAGCAAACAGGAUUAGAUACCCCGGUAGUCCCUGUCUCUUAUAC